ACUCUACCUAAAUUCGGCGAAGGAUUGCUCGGUAUAAUCUAUUCGGUCAGGCAAUUUUGCGAUUUUUGAUUGAUUAUUUGUCUUUUCUCGGUCGUGUUCGUUAUCUGCCGGUGAAUUUAGUCAUCUGUAGCUAGUAUUUUCCCAGAAUAUUGUUUGGUUUUGGUAUUUUACCGCUAGAGUUUUGUUGCCUCUGUUUCUGACGGGGAAAACCGAGGGGAGAUUUCGACUAUGGCGGGAGGAAACUUCGUCCACAGAGUUUUCUCGUACUCGCGAACGAGCUCAUAGUUAAUGAAUUGGCGGACAGUCAAAUCCUAUUAUGCUAUUCUGACUCACAAGCUUGGGUUGCGCUGGAAAAUUUAGCCACCUGAAGCGCCUGUCCAUGAACUUGUCCAGCAAAUGAAGCGCCUGUCCAUGAACUUUGACGCCUUGUGGUUUUUAUCCUUUUAACCCAUGUCUUUGCCAAGAUUUGUGUAAGAUAACUUAACAGAUCCUUUUCACUUUGCAGGCGAUCAAGAGACAGUGAGGUAUAUCCUUUCCUCUGCAGAUGACAGUGGGAAUGGUCUUCUUGUGAAAAGAAUGUUUCCGGAUGUGUUUAAAACACUAUAAUACUUGUCAAUCACUCACUGGAUUCUUUAUUUUUUAGUUCCAGAAGAGAAGACUGACUCUACGACGCCGUUUCGGAUGUCAGUCCAAUGGAUUUUAGGAUAUAAGAACGACCCGUUUGCGUUAUGAUUUUGACUAUUUUGGGUUGGUCAAAUCCUCUUUGGGUAUGCUCCGGCGAGAGCCGCCGUGGCUAAAUGAAUAGCGUAAUUGUCCGUUUUCUGGAAUUUAGUAUGCAGUGUAGUGUAUAUUCCAUAUUUCUGGGUGCCUCCUUUUUCACAAACAGAAAUGCGGUAGGGUGAAGGAGCUCAGAGACCGUACAGUUGAGGAGUAUAUGAUGUAUGCACACACUCUAGAGUGUUCUCCUGCAUAUAUGUCUGUUGUAAUUGUGCCUUGUAGCUCGCACGCAUGUC
This is a long non-coding RNA of Tarenaya hassleriana, 1013 nucleotides long. RefSeq lists it as uncharacterized. The record is from RefSeq and is a predicted model, not a curated record. Lineage: Eukaryota; Viridiplantae; Streptophyta; Magnoliopsida; Brassicales; Cleomaceae. The transcript is spliced from 2 exons.